AGCAUUUGAGUCAGCAUUUUCAACCCAUGUACACCCAGAAGAAAUAAAAUGUGCCCAAACAAAAGCAAGUGUCAAUACGAGUACUAUUCAUAGUACAUCAAGAGAUAAAUAGAUAACUAAAUGUGGUAUACCUAUAUAAUGAAAUAACAAUUAGCCAUAAAAAAGAAUGAAGUAUUAAAAACAUGCUACAGGAUGGAUGGACCUUGCAAACAUGCUCAGACAAAAGAGAAUAAAUAUUGUGUGAUUGUAUCUAUACAGAAUGAGAAUUUGAAAUAUAUAUAGAGAGAGAGACAUGGGGCAGGCAAGAUGGCUCAGUGUAUAAAAACACUUUGCUGCCACAUCUAAGAACUUGAGUUCAGUCUCCAGAACCCAUGUUGUGGAAAUUAAAAACUGAUUCCCACAAACUAUUCUCUGACCUUCUUACUCAUCCUGUAGGAUGUGUGUGCCAAUGUAUAAUCACAAAUAAGUAACCAAUAUAUAAAAGUAGUAUUAUAUGACUGCCCUCUAACUAAGGUUAUGCAUUCUGAUCCCUUUCCCCAAAUAUGAUGGGUGUUCUGUUCUAUGUUACCUGUCUUGUUCUAUGUGGAAAAAAAUGGAUGACAUACCUUGAUGGAAUUUUGUUACAAGUUAAUAGGGGACAUCAGGAAGCAGGAACCCUCUGUAUCCUAUAUCCCCCUCUCCAAGAACUUUACAUACUCAUGAUUUAUGUAAAAAGCCUGCAGCUAUGCCCUUUUAACAGUCUAUGGAGUCAACAGCAUUUAGACAGGCACCUGCUCAGGGGCUGCUUAUCUCUUAGAUGCCUGCCUUUGUUUUCCCAGAUUUUGGAAAACCUGGGUAGCCUCCAACUUCAGUACUCUAGUAGAUUCAAUAAAAUAAACUGGAAUUC
Molecule: long non-coding RNA, 886 nt
Filed under: Rattus norvegicus (Norway rat)
Lineage: Eukaryota; Metazoa; Chordata; Mammalia; Rodentia; Muridae
Description: long non-coding RNA NONRATT020354
Source: RNAcentral